RNAcentral lists this ribosomal RNA (523 nucleotides) under Cortinarius evernius. RNAcentral's name for it is "eukaryotic LSU rRNA". The stretch from base 189 to 342 matches the Rfam family "5.8S ribosomal RNA". The record is from RNAcentral. Lineage: Eukaryota; Fungi; Basidiomycota; Agaricomycetes; Agaricales; Cortinariaceae.
GAACCUGCGGAAGGAUCAUUAUUGAAAUAAACCUGAUGGGUUGUUGCUGGCUCUCUAGGGAGCAUGUGCACACCUUGUCAUCUUUAUAUCUCCACCUGUGCAUCGUUUGUAGACCUUCCAGGUCUAUGUUGCUUCUCCAUUUACCUCCAAUGUAUGUUAAUAGAAUGUUGUGGCUAUAAAAUCUAUACAACUUUCAGCAACGGAUCUCUUGGCUCUUGCAUCGAUGAAGAACGCAGCGAAAUGCGAUAAGUAAUGUGAAUUGCAGAAUUCAGUGAAUCAUCGAAUCUUUGAACGCACCUUGCGCUCCUUGGUAUUCCGAGGAGCAUGCCUGUUUGAGUGUCAUUAAUAUAUAUCAACCCUCUCUCUCUUGCUGAGUGGUUUGGAUGUGGGGGGAUUUGCUGGCCUCGUAAAGGGUUCAGCUCCCCUGAAAUACAUUAGCAGGACAAUCUGUUCAUUGGUGUGAUAACUAUCUACGCUAUUGAAUGUGAGGGUCAGUUCAGCUUUCUAACAGUCUUGGACAGUU